CUAUAUAUGGAGAAUUCAGGUGCCGGAACAUCCGGCUUAAAAGGGAAUUCGGUUCAAUGCCGAAGCUGUCCCCGCAACUGUAAUUGUGGACGAAAUGGAAUAGCCACUGUACAGAUCAGUUAAUAAAAUGACUGCUGUAUGGGAAGGCCCAAAGUAGGAAGAAGCAAAAGCCAGUAGACCUGCCUGAAGACUCCUAUUUUC
This 201-nucleotide non-coding RNA is filed under the name Fictibacillus phosphorivorans. Lineage: Bacteria; Bacillati; Bacillota; Bacilli; Caryophanales; Fictibacillaceae. The record is from RNAcentral.